This 153-nucleotide ribosomal RNA is filed under the name uncultured eukaryote. RNAcentral describes it as "partial small subunit ribosomal RNA". It matches the Rfam family "Eukaryotic small subunit ribosomal RNA", at positions 1651 to 1804 of the family's 1831-position model. The record is from RNAcentral.
CCCUGCCAUUUGUACACACCGCCCGUCGCUCCUACCGAUUGAAUGGUCCGGCGAAAUCUUCGGAUUGCUGACCUUGGCAUUUAUUUGUCUUGGUUGCGAGAAGUUGAUUAAACCUUAUCAUUUAGAGGAAGGAGAAGUCGUAACAAGGUUUCC